CAGCAGCAGCCGCGGGAAUACGUAGGUGGCAAGCGUUGUCCGGAAUUAUUGGGCGUAAAGGGCUCGCAGGCGGUUUCUUAAGUCUGAUGUGAAAGCCCCCGGCUCAACCGGGGAGGGUCAUUGGAAACUGGGAAACUUGAGUGCAGAAGAGGAGAGUGGAAUUCCACGUGUAGCGGUGAAAUGCGUAGAGAUGUGGAGGAACACCAGUGGCGAAGGCGACUCUCUGGUCUGUAACUGACGCUGAGGAGCGAAAGCGUGGGGAGCGAACAGGAUUAGAUACCCCGGUAGUCCCUGUCUCUUAUAC
Molecule: ribosomal RNA, 304 nt
Filed under: uncultured bacterium
Lineage: Bacteria
Description: partial 16S ribosomal RNA
Rfam family: Bacterial small subunit ribosomal RNA
Source: RNAcentral